GAAUAUUCCGCAAUGCGCGAAAGCGUGACGGAGCGAUGCCGCGUGCAGGAUGAAGCCCCUCGGGGUGUAAACUGCUGUCAGGGUUUAGCAACUCAAUGAGCAGACCCAAAGGAAGGGCCGGCUAACUUCGUGCCAGCAGCCGCGGUAAUACGAAGGGCCCGAGCGUUAAUCGGAAUCACUGGGCUUAAAGCGUACGUAGGCGGGCAUGCAGGCAUUGUGUGAAAUCCCUCCGCUCAACGGAGGAACUGCACAGUGAACCGCAUGUCUUGAGACAAGUAGGGGCGGUCGGAACGCACGGUGGAGUGGUGAAAUGCGUUGAUAUCGUGCGGAACGCCGAAGGAGAAAUCAGGCCGCUGGGCUUGUUCUGACGCUGAGGUACGAAAGCGUGGGGAGCGAACGG
RNAcentral lists this ribosomal RNA (400 nucleotides) under uncultured bacterium. Its description in RNAcentral is "bacterial SSU rRNA". It matches the Rfam family "Bacterial small subunit ribosomal RNA", at positions 359 to 775 of the family's 1533-position model. The record is from RNAcentral.